RNAcentral lists this small RNA (68 nucleotides) under Paractinoplanes atraurantiacus. RNAcentral's name for it is "Actinoplanes sp. Y16 ASdes TB sRNA". It matches the Rfam family "ASdes TB sRNA". The record is from Rfam by way of RNAcentral. Lineage: Bacteria; Bacillati; Actinomycetota; Actinomycetes; Micromonosporales; Micromonosporaceae.
AGCUCGGUCGGGUCGACGGCGCGAGAGACGGUCAGGUAGUCGCGCAGGGCGAUGCCGUGCCGGCCCUC